RNAcentral lists this long non-coding RNA (1009 nucleotides) under Nicotiana benthamiana. RNAcentral's name for it is "long non-coding RNA (NBEN_LNC020827)". The record is from RNAcentral. Lineage: Eukaryota; Viridiplantae; Streptophyta; Magnoliopsida; Solanales; Solanaceae.
UAUAAAAAGGGCAUUCCCAUGCCUUGACACACAUGUUUGGAAGCCUAAAUUUCCCCAAAAAUCCAUCUUCAAGUUUCAGAUAUGAGAAUCCAAAUUCUGAGAUCCAAAUCUUCUUCUAGUUCGUAGUCAAAACAAAAAAUCCAAAAACAAAACAAAAAUGCAGUAAAAAAUCAACAAAAGUAGUGUUCCAUUAAACUUUUGGUUCAAUUUCGAGUUUCAGUAUAUGCUUUUGAUCUUAUAGCUUGAUUUUAAUUUGCUGAAGUUCUCCGGAGGUCCAUUGGUCCAGUUAUGGAUUAAUCCGAUUUCAAUUGGGUCAAUUGAGAUUGUUUAUUAUUGCAGUUGGUUUCUACAAUUUUCUGGGAUGUUAUAUAAGUGUGUUUCUGGUUGGAAACUGAUUUCCCAGUUGGUUUAGAGCCAAUUUGAUGUUGCUGUGUGAUACUUCUAUUUGUUCCUGGUUGCUAACCUCUCCUUUUCUUAUUAUACUUCAAUAUCCAGGUACACUUCCUGUUUCAUAGAGAUGUAGAGUUGAGAAAGUGAAAUGAAAUGGCAGCUGCAUUAAGCUUAAGUGUCUUCUAUUUUCUGUUCAACUGCAUUACUAUAAUUUGUACUACUAGACUCUUAUUUGGACUUGUGUGAUCGUGUUGGUAAUUAGGGAUAAAUUGAAGUAUUAUUAGCACUGUUAACAAAUCGCAUUUGGAACUCAGCAUAAAUAAGAUUAUUACAUGUUGUAUCCUAAGGGUAGUUAAUUCCACGCUAGGUGGAUGAAACAGUUUCAUAGAAAUUUGUUCAUUGUUUUAUCUAUGUAAGCAUGUAUAAUAUCACGUGAGCAGCAUCUUCAUAAAGAACACGUUUGGAUGGCAAUUCUGUCAAUUAGAAUUGAUUUCACGUUUAAACAAUUAAUCUCAAUAGUUUAGGUUACUUGAUUCAAAAAUAGUUGGCGGCUUUGUCAAAUCAUGCUCCAGCUCAUUUCUCUCUUUAGAAGUAUCUAAGAAAUCGUCAGAGUACAAGU